RNAcentral lists this ribosomal RNA (146 nucleotides) under Mycoplasmopsis felis. RNAcentral describes it as "Mycoplasma felis partial 16S ribosomal RNA". It matches the Rfam family "Bacterial small subunit ribosomal RNA", at positions 1388 to 1533 of the family's 1533-position model. The record is from RNAcentral. Lineage: Bacteria; Bacillati; Mycoplasmatota; Mycoplasmoidales; Metamycoplasmataceae.
CACCGCCCGUCACACCAUGGGAGCUGGUAAUGCCCGAAGUCGGUUUUGUUAACUACGGAGACAACUGCCUAAGGCAGGGCCGGUGACUGGGGUGAAGUCGUAACAAGGUAUCCCUACGAGAACGUGGGGAUGGAUUACCUCCUUUC